CAAAGCGUAGUAAAAACAAAAUUGACCACGACCAGUUGAGGUUGUUGAGAUCGACCUUAAACCUAUUCACAAACCCGAUCUUUCAAUUUUUGUUUGCGGCGGCCUGAAUUGCAGCUAGCAGAGAAUCUGUUCACUGAUUCUUAGUAGAGAAUUGCAGCUAGCAUUAGAAGAAGAACCGGUGAAGACCAAUUCUUAGUAGUUCCUGGGGCGAAGACCAAUUCUUUUCUUUCAGGUUAUUCUUCACUUUGCGAAACCCUAGUUCCCAAUUCAAUACCGAAUCUGGAGAUCUUCUUAGCAUUCAAUCCACGGAGCUCAAAUUACCCUGUCCAAUAUUGUAUGAGCUAGAAGUGUAAAACUUUGGAAAUGUAUUAACAACUUUGGAGACGGAAUUCCAUUGGUUGGUGGAUAAGAAUUGUUGGGUAUGGUGAAGAAGCAUUUGAGCUUUUUGGGGAAAAACAGUAGUUGAAUAUGACGACAUUUUAAACGUCCAAAUUGGACUGCUAUUGUUAAAAUCGUUCAAGCUUGCCUUUGGAUAUGAAGGAGUUUGGUCAUUAAACGUGACCCCUACUUUGCAACGCAGCUUCUAUUUAAUGCAUUUGGAACAAUGGCAAUGGCUAGAGACGUGAGAAUAUUUCUACGUGAGGUCAAAAGUAUCCUGCUAUUUGUUGCUGUGCAGAGUGUUUACAUGAAGCCCUUGCUUACAAUUUUUUUUUACCUAAGUUCAGUUUUUGCUUCGUAAAGCAUGUAGCUAUUGUGCUUCAUUGCACAUAACAAAAUUUCUAAAUUUGUAUUUUGACCAAGCAAAUCAGUGUGCUCCUUCUAUAGAUUUGAGAUGCAUGGGAGUUUAUAGAAUUGUAUGAUGUACAAGAGAGCUUGGGCACAUGUGGAGGCAUUUCACCUUGACCAGGGUGUAGAAAAACCUACUGUAAACAAAUCAAAGAUUGUGCCAUGUCUAAUUG
Molecule: long non-coding RNA, 959 nt
Organism: Rosa rugosa (rugosa rose)
Lineage: Eukaryota; Viridiplantae; Streptophyta; Magnoliopsida; Rosales; Rosaceae
Exons: 3
Source: RefSeq, a predicted model, not a curated record